Small nucleolar RNA from Otolemur garnettii (small-eared galago), 83 nucleotides. The record is from Ensembl. NCBI's taxonomy places the organism in Eukaryota, Metazoa, Chordata, Mammalia, Primates, Galagidae.
AGCGCAUGACGACACACACCCAGGAAUGCUGCAGACUGCCAAUUGCGCAGUGAGGAAGCCAACCUUGGAGAGCUGAGCAUGUG